RNAcentral lists this ribosomal RNA (468 nucleotides) under uncultured bacterium. RNAcentral's name for it is "partial 16S ribosomal RNA". It matches the Rfam family "Bacterial small subunit ribosomal RNA", at positions 28 to 507 of the family's 1533-position model. The record is from RNAcentral.
GACGAACGCUGGCGGCGUGCUUAACACAUGCAAGUCGAACGGAAAGGCCCUGCUUUUGUGGGGUGCUCGAGUGGCGAACGGGUGAGUAACACGUGAGUAACCUGCCCUUGACUUUGGGAUAACUUCAGGAAACUGGGGCUAAUACCGUAUAGGAGCUCCUGCUGCAUGGUGGGGGUUGGAAAGUUUCGGCGGUUGGGGAUGGACUCGCGGCUUAUCAGCUUGUUGGUGGGGUAGUGGCUUACCAAGGCUUUGACGGGUAGCCGGCCUGAGAGGGUGACCGGCCACAUUGGGACUGAGAGACGGCGCAGACUCCUACGGGAGGCAGCAGGGGGGAAUAUUGCACAAUGGGCGGAAGCCUGAUGCAGAAACGCCGCGUGCGGGAUGACGGCCUUCGGGUUGUAAACCGCAUUCGCCUGUGACGAAGCGGGAGUGACGGUAAUGGGUAAAGAAGCACCGGCUAACUACGUG